This 82-nucleotide ribosomal RNA is filed under the name Bacillus sp. I2MY05A. RNAcentral's name for it is "partial 23S ribosomal RNA". It matches the Rfam family "Bacterial large subunit ribosomal RNA", at positions 51 to 132 of the family's 2925-position model. Lineage: Bacteria; Bacillati; Bacillota; Bacilli; Caryophanales; Bacillaceae. The record is from RNAcentral.
GAAGGACGGGACGAACACCGAUAUGCUUCGGAGAGCUGUAAGCAAGCUUUGAUCCGGAGAUUUCCGAAUGGGGAAACCCGGA